RNAcentral lists this ribosomal RNA (849 nucleotides) under Streptococcus agalactiae. RNAcentral describes it as "bacterial SSU rRNA". It matches the Rfam family "Bacterial small subunit ribosomal RNA", at positions 35 to 870 of the family's 1533-position model. Lineage: Bacteria; Bacillati; Bacillota; Bacilli; Lactobacillales; Streptococcaceae. The record is from RNAcentral.
UUUUUCGGAUCGCGCUAUCUGCAGUAGAAGCUGAUGUUUGGUGUUUACACUAGACUGAUGAGUUGCGAACGGGUGAGUAACGCGUAGGUAACCUGCCUCAUAGCGGGGGAUAACUAUUGGAAACGAUAGCUAAUACCGCAUAAGAGUAAUUAACACAUGUUAGUUAUUUAAAAGGAGCAAUUGCUUCACUGUGAGAUGGACCUGCGUUGUAUUAGCUAGUUGGUGAGGUAAAGGCUCACCAAGGCGACGAUACAUAGCCGACCUGAGAGGGUGAUCGGCCACACUGGGACUGAGACACGGCCCAGACUCCUACGGGAGGCAACAGUAGGGAAUCUUCGGCAAUGGACGGAAGUCUGACCGAGCAACGCCGCGUGAGUGAAGAAGGUUUUCGGAUCGUAAAGCUCUGUUGUUAGAGAAGAACGUUGGUAGGAGUGGAAAAUCUACCAAGUGACGGUAACUAACCAGAAAGGGACGGCUAACUACGUGCCAGCAGCCGCGGUAAUACGUAGGUCCCGAGCGUUGUCCGGAUUUAUUGGGCGUAAAGCGAGCGCAGGCGGUUCUUUAAGUCUGAAGUUAAAGGCAGUGGCUUAACCAUUGUACGCUUUGGAAACUGGAGGACUUGAGUGCAGAAGGGGAGAGUGGAAUUCCAUGUGUAGCGGUGAAAUGCGUAGAUAUAUGGAGGAACACCGGUGGCGAAAGCGGCUCUCUGGUCUGUAACUGACGCUGAGGCUCGAAAGCGUGGGGAGCNAACAGGAUUAGAUACCCUGGUAGUCCACGCCGUAAACGAUGAGUGCUAGGUGUUAGGCCCUUUCCGGGGCUUAGUGCCGCAGCUAACGCAUUAAGCACUCG